Long non-coding RNA from Microtus oregoni (creeping vole), 819 nucleotides. RefSeq lists it as uncharacterized. The record is from RefSeq and is a predicted model, not a curated record. Lineage: Eukaryota; Metazoa; Chordata; Mammalia; Rodentia; Cricetidae. The transcript has 3 exons.
CCGCUGCCGCCGCCUGGACAGACUUGGGUGUCUCUGCCAGUCACUGGCUGUGCAGCUGCAGGAUGGCCGAGUCAGGAUCUCCGUGGACUUUGGGCUCUGAGACUUAGUUGAAAAGGGCAAAAGAAGAACAACAGUUGCUUUGUCGGGACCCACGGCCUGUUCUAGGGACAAUCUUCAGCUCAAGAAUGGGGACCGGAUCUGUUCCUUGGCUCUGAUUCUCACUCUGUGGAGUUGAUCUAGUCACAUCAUCUCUGAAUCUCAUUGGAUAGAUGAAGAUAACAACCUGCCUGAGGCUUUGGGGAAAGAAGUAGAUGAGAUUAUUAUGUAUGUGUAGUCAAGAAAGUAUCCCACCCACGGCAGAAACUAACACCUCUAACAAGCACAAUGACCAGGCGUCGGAUGGAAAAGGGAAGAUGGUCUCCUCCUGUGGAAGGUAACUGUUCCCAGCAUCUAAGGACUGUCUCUACUCGUGUGUCAUGUUGAAUCUGUGUUGAAUAGAACCCUGGAGUGGCACAGACUCUGGACCUCUCUAUCCACUGCCCAGACCACAGGCAUGCCCCAUUCAUUCCCAAAGCACACCUCUCUAGACAGCUCCUCAGUGUGGCCCCAGUGCCACCACCCUAGAAGAUAUUCUUCAAGAGAAGAAUUUAGAGUUCAAAUAUUCGCCAACGAUGUCUCCUGUUCUAGAGCUGCCCCCUCCCACAGAGAUGUUCUAAGUGUCUACUGCCAUAAAGACCCUGGGAAGUCUGAUAGCAAAACAACAAACAAAAUGUGAUAGUUCCUGUUACCUGGACUCGAAGCUCUGCAGACUCAUUUGAC